AUGCAACUUUCUACAUCACUAACUAGCCUUUUCCUCAGCGGUCUUUGCAUUGUGGUGGUUAGAACAGCAAGCAUACCUGAUGGCAACGUAACGGUUGACACCCUUGACGAAUCAACUGACACAUCCAUUUCCGAGGGAGAUGACCUUUGGUGUUGCCUGUGGUCCUGGUUACUCGACGAUGGAAAAAACUGCACGACCAGCCAUGAAACCGACGAUGGCUCCGCCAUAGGACCGCCCGCGCCCCCUCCUCUUCCUCAUCACAAAAAACCUCCCAAGGACCCCAAUCCACCUGUAGGACCGCCCCAGGCUCCUGUCCUACCACCUUCUCCUAGUGAUCCUCUUACAGUUCCCAUUAUUGACCCUGUCACAAUUUUUCCACCCCCUAAAGAGGCCGCUAACCCUUCUGGUAAAGAUGCGAAGGACGUGGAUGUCCAUAGCGAACCAGGGUCUAAUCUUGAGAGCCUUUCGCAGAAAAGAGCUGUCGAAGAUGGUGUCUGGAUGGAUCCCUACCCGUACGAUAGUGAUAGUGCGGAAAAACAAACUAUAGCAACGGUAAUAAAUACCAGGAAACGUAGAUCUACGGACGCUGCGGAGGAUGAUGAUUCGAUGAUUCCGUGGGCUCCAGACGAAGAUACAAACACCGGGAAUAAUGGAACGGCUGUGGAGUCUGCAAAUGUUGUCGCAGAGGAUGCCCAAGAGAACACUUUGCCCAACACUCUCAUGGAUACGGCGGACUAUGGAUCUCUUGACCCUGCUCUUGAUACGGCGACGACUAGUAAAAGGGCAGUGUACAUUGUUAGAAAGCCAGUUUAUGGUGUAAGGAGGUUGUAUCAGCUCCAAAGGGAAUCCAGGAUUCAACGACUACGGAGGGACACCGAUGAUGCGAACGAGGUGGAUGAUAUUCCAAAUGCAGUGGGUAACAAUCCGGUAGAUAACGCAAAUGAAAGUUCGGAGGAAGAGGUCGGUGAUAUUCCUGCAAUCUCGAUGGAUGACACAGAUGACAGUAUGUCGGAUGACUCAGAUGACGAUUCGGUUGAUGAAGCGAGUGACAGCUCGGUGGAUGAGGUAGGUGAUAUCGAUCCAGGUUAUGGUGUUAGUAGGGUGUACCGGCUCCAAAGGGAAUCCAGGAUUGAACGACUACGAAGGGACACCGAUGAUGCAACUGAGGUGGAUAAUAUUCCGAAUGCAACGGGUAAAAAUCUGGUGGAUGACGCAGAUGAAAGUUCGGAGGAAGAGGUUGGUGACAUUUCCGCAAGCUCGAUGGAUAACACCGGUGACAGUAAGACGGAUGAGGCAGAUGACCGUUCGGUUGAUGAAGCAAGUGACAGUUUGGUGGAUGAGACGGGCGAUAGUCUUGCCAGUCCGGUAGAUGACACAAAUGAAGACGGUGAUGAGGGAGAUGAAAGUUCAGAGGAAGAGGUUGGUGAUAUUUCCGCAAGAUCUAUAGAUGAGACAGAUGACAGUUCGGUUGAUGAAGUGAGUGGCAAUUCGGUGGAUGAGGUAGGUGAUAUCGAUCCUAUUUCGACGGAAUAUACAGACGAUAAAGUGGACGAUCCAACAAAAGCGGACAAUCCAACAGAGGCGGACAAUCCAACAGAGGCGGACAAUCCAACAGAAGUAGAAUCGGAAAGUACCAUUAAGGAUGCUCUGGAACAAGCCAAUAUCAACAAAAGGCCGAUAUCCGUCGGAGGAGAUGAACUUUACGAUUGGUCUGGCAGUUACGUCUACAGACGGAGGCGAGACACCUCUGAUGCAGAAACCACACCCACGGGUGCAUCGGUUUCCGAUCUGCCCGAUUUGGAUGUAAGUUCUUCCGCCUUGAUGGACCAACCAGCCGACGUUAGCAAAGAUCCCGCUUCGGAGGAUACAACCAAAGACGAGGACGAUUGCAUUCCUCUAUCGGGGACGGAGUAUGAAUAUGCGUAUAUCUGUAAGAGGUCAAUGCUUUAUACAGGAAUACCAUUUGAUCCGAGAGUUUAUAAUACAUAUGACUACCGACGAAGGAGGGCAGCACCUACAUCUACCGGCUCUUCGGAUCCUGAUCCAAAUAAUGCAGUAGACGAUUCGGUUGCUGCAGUGAAGGAAUCAGGAGACGUUAAGGGAGACACAGCAAUGGAUGCUGUAGACAAUGAAGUGAACGAUCCCGAAAUUGCUCUUUCGUCCGUGAAAGACCUUAAAAGUCCUAGUGAGUAUGGUGAGAAUAUGUAUACAAUACUUCACAGACGAAGAAGAGAAACCGAUGACGUUGCUACUGCAUCUACCGAGUCAUUAGAUUCGAAUCAAAAAGAUAUAGAAUAUGGCUCAACGGAGCAAAUAGAUGACGCUGUAAAAGACCCUGCUGACGAUAAAACAGACAUCCUGGAAAUCAGUGUUUUUGAUUUUCGUACUAAUGCUCAAUACGACAAGAAGGUCGAGUCGGAUUCUGACGAAGGAGGCAUCAGUAAAAGGUCGAUUAUCUACUCAGGGAGUCCUUAUGGGCCCAUUGCUGGUCCUUAUGGGUCCAUUGCGGAUCCUUACGGGUGUAUGGGAAUACUCUAUAGGCAAAGAAGAGACACUGCCCAAGCGGCAUCUUUAUCAACAGACCCAUCAGAUGGUAAUCAAGAAAUAUUGGAGGAUAGUCUCUCUGCAUCAGCGGAGCAGACUGAAAACGGACCAGAAGACCUUGCACUAGAUGCCGCCAACGAUGAUGUGUCGUAUAAUCCAGCGAUCACGUUGUCAGAUAAUGAGGGUGAGCCAAACGAUAACGAAGUAAGUAGCUCAGACUCCAGUCAGGUGCAGAAGAGAGACACUUUUGAUCGAUAUUGGGGAUAUCCAACUGCUACCGCUCGAAUCAGCAGGCGUAAAAGAGCUUCAGAGGACGACACCUACUAUGAGCCAAAAGGCCGGUGGAUAGACCUAGAUUCAUUGGAAGAUUCAAUGAAUAUUGGCUUAUCUGCUUCCGAAGUGGUAGACGAAACAAGUGAAGAUCCUACGAGGACGUAUGAAACCGAGGUAUCGAACUUAUCGGGCGAAGAAAAUGACGUCUUAGUAGAUCCUUUCUCCCAUUGGCAGAGGGAAAGAAGAUUGCCAGGCGGAUACAGCGUAGGAUUAGGAGAGACACUCCAGGACCGACUCUUUAUGAUUCAGUGGAUACUGAUCUUCCUGCUUCUAGAUUGGUAG
Molecule: long non-coding RNA, 3159 nt
Filed under: Bemisia tabaci
Lineage: Eukaryota; Metazoa; Arthropoda; Insecta; Hemiptera; Aleyrodidae
Description: lncRNA ENSSSA2NGG000603
Source: RNAcentral